This 498-nucleotide ribosomal RNA is filed under the name uncultured bacterium. RNAcentral's name for it is "partial 16S ribosomal RNA". It matches the Rfam family "Bacterial small subunit ribosomal RNA", at positions 30 to 523 of the family's 1533-position model. The record is from RNAcentral.
AUUGAAAGCUGGCGGCAUGCCUUACACAUGCAAGUCGACCGGUAACAGGUCUUCGGAUGCUGACGAGUGGCGAACGGGGGAGUAAUACAUCGGAACGUGCCUAGUAGUGGGGGAUAACUGCUCGAAAGAGUGGCUAAUACCGCAUGAGAUCUACGGAUGAAGGCAGGGGAUCGCAAGACCUUGUGCUACUAGAGCGGCCGAGGGCAGAUUAGGUAGUUGGUGGGAUAAAAGCUUACCAAGCCGACGAUCUGUAGCUGGUCUGAGAGGACGAUCAGCCACACUGGGACUGAGACACGGCCCAGACUCCUACGGGAGGCAGCAGUGGGGAAUUUUGGACAAUGGGCGCACGCCUGAUCCAGCAAUGCCGCGUGCAGGAUGAAGGCCUUCGGGUUGUAAACUGCUUUUGUACGGAACGAAAAGCCCCGGGUUAAUACCCUGGGGUCAUGACGGUACCGUAAGAAUAAGCACCGGCUAACUACUUGCCAGCCGCCGCAGUAA